AGUGAACGCUGGCGGUAGGCCUAACACAUGCAAGUCGAACGGCAGCACAGUAAGAGCUUGCUCUUACGGGUGGCGAGUGGCGGACGGGUGAGGAAUACAUCGGAAUCUACUUUUUCGUGGGGGAUAACGUAGGGAAACUUACGCUAAUACCGCAUACGACCUACGGGUGAAAGCAGGGGAUCUUCGGACCUUGCGCGAUUGAAUGAGCCGAUGUCGGAUUAGCUAGUUGGCGGGGUAAAGGCCCACCAAGGCGACGAUCCGUAGCUGGUCUGAGAGGAUGGUCAGCCACACGGGAACUGAGACAGGGUCCAGACUCCUGCGGGAGGCAGCAGUGGGGAAUAUUAGGCAAUGGGGGCAAGCCUGAUCCAGCCAUACCGCGUGGGAGGAGAAGGCCUUCGGGUUGUGAAGCCGUUUUUUUGGGAGAGAAAAGCAGCAGGUUAAUACCCCGCGGUUCUGACGGUACCCAAAGAAUAAGCACCGGCUAACUUCGUG
This 492-nucleotide ribosomal RNA is filed under the name uncultured bacterium. RNAcentral describes it as "partial 16S ribosomal RNA". It matches the Rfam family "Bacterial small subunit ribosomal RNA", at positions 29 to 507 of the family's 1533-position model. The record is from RNAcentral.